Molecule: ribosomal RNA, 1489 nt
Filed under: Lactiplantibacillus plantarum
Lineage: Bacteria; Bacillati; Bacillota; Bacilli; Lactobacillales; Lactobacillaceae
Description: bacterial SSU rRNA
Rfam family: Bacterial small subunit ribosomal RNA
Source: RNAcentral
GACGAACGCUGGCGGCGUGCCUAAUACAUGCAAGUCGAACGAACUCUGGUAUUGAUUGGUGCUUGCAUCAUGAUUUACAUUUGAGUGAGUGGCGAACUGGUGAGUAACACGUGGGAAACCUGCCCAGAAGCGGGGGAUAACACCUGGAAACAGAUGCUAAUACCGCAUAACAACUUGGACCACAUGGUCCGAGUUUGAAAGAUGGCUUCGGCUAUCACUUUUGGAUGGUCCCGCGGCGUAUUAGCUAGAUGGUGGGGUAACGGCUCACCAUGGCAAUGAUACGUAGCCGACCUGAGAGGGUAAUCGGCCACAUUGGGACUGAGACACGGCCCAAACUCCUACGGGAGGCAGCAGUAGGGAAUCUUCCACAAUGGACGAAAGUCUGAUGGAGCAACGCCGCGUGAGUGAAGAAGGGUUUCGGCUCGUAAAACUCUGUUGCUAAAGAAGAACAUAUCUGAGAGUAACUGUUCAGGUAUUGACGGUAUUUAACCAGAAAGCCACGGCUAACUACGUGCCAGCAGCCGCGGUAAUACGUAGGUGGCAAGCGUUGUCCGGAUUUAUUGGGCGUAAAGCGAGCGCAGGCGGUUUUUUAAGUCUGAUGUGAAAGCCUUCGGCUCAACCGAAGAAGUGCAUCGGAAACUGGGAAACUUGAGUGCAGAAGAGGACAGUGGAACUCCAUGUGUAGCGGUGAAAUGCGUAGAUAUAUGGAAGAACACCAGUGGCGAAGGCGGCUGUCUGGUCUGUAACUGACGCUGAGGCUCGAAAGUAUGGGUAGCAAACAGGAUUAGAUACCCUGGUAGUCCAUACCGUAAACGAUGAAUGCUAAGUGUUGGAGGGUUUCCGCCCUUCAGUGCUGCAGCUAACGCAUUAAGCAUUCCGCCUGGGGAGUACGGCCGCAAGGCUGAAACUCAAAGGAAUUGACGGGGGCCCGCACAAGCGGUGGAGCAUGUGGUUUAAUUCGAAGCUACGCGAAGAACCUUACCAGGUCUUGACAUACUAUGCAAAUCUAAGAGAUUAGACGUUCCCUUCAGGGACAUGGAUACAGGUGGUGCAUGGUUGUCGUCAGCUCGUGUCGUGAGAUGUUGGGUUAAGUCCCGCAACGAGCGCAACCCUUAUUAUCAGUUGCCAGCAUUAAGUUGGGCACUCUGGUGAGACUGCCGGUGACAAACCGGAGGAAGGUGGGGAUGACGUCAAAUCAUCAUGCCCCUUAUGACCUGGGCUACACACGUGCUACAAUGGAUGGUACAACGAGUUGCGAACUCGCGAGAGUAAGCUAAUCUCUUAAAGCCAUUCUCAGUUCGGAUUGUAGGCUGCAACUCGCCUACAUGAAGUCGGAAUCGCUAGUAAUCGCGGAUCAGCAUGCCGCGGUGAAUACGUUCCCGGGCCUUGUACACACCGCCCGUCACACCAUGAGAGUUUGUAACACCCAAAGUCGGUGGGGUAACCUUUUAGGAACCAGCCGCCUAAGGUGGGACAGAUGAUUAGGGUG